UGCGUAGGCGGAAAAUUAAGUCAGUGGUGAAAUCCUGCAGCUUAACUGUAGAACUGUCAUUGAUACUGAUUUUCUUGAAUAUAGUUGAGGUAGGCGGAAUGUGUAAUGUAGCGGUGAAAUGCUUAGAUAUUACACAGAACACCGAUUGCGAAGGCAGCUUACUAAGCUAUUAUUGACGCUGAGGCACGAAAGCGUGGGGAGCGAACAGGAUUAGAUACCCUGGUAGUCC
This 229-nucleotide ribosomal RNA is filed under the name uncultured bacterium. Its description in RNAcentral is "partial 16S ribosomal RNA". It matches the Rfam family "Bacterial small subunit ribosomal RNA", at positions 568 to 796 of the family's 1533-position model. The record is from RNAcentral.